CAUAAUCAGGGUGGAGUAGGAGAGGCAAAAACCUAUAAAGGGUGUUCCACUCCAGAGCUUCCCACAUUGCAUCAGCAGUGCCUUUGAGUUUGGAGUAUUAGCUUUUCAAAAUACAAAAACAUGGCAGAAUUUAAUAGCGGAGAACUUUUAAAUCUCUUCACUCAGUUUGCUAUGAAAGAAGGUAGUAAGAAUCUGCUUUCCACUGAUGGACUUAAAAGUCUGCUUCAGAGUCACUUCUCAAAUGUUUUGGGUUCGAUGUCUCUCAAUGAUAUAACCAAAUAUGCGGACUUAGAUAAAGAUGGAAAAAUCAACUUUAAUGAUUUCAAGUCACUGCUAAGCAAGUUAAGUGGUUUGGUUGGAUUAUCUAACUUGACUGGAUUAAGUGGUUUGAUCUCCUAAAGCAUCCCAUGAAGAAAAGACAAACUGCUGCCAAGAUCCCCAACAAUCCUAUUACGGACAUUAACAAUGUUUGUAUUUGUAUAAAGAAUCUCUCUAAAACUAAAUUUAAUCAUUGUGAAAAGAUAGAUGUCACUGAAUAAAUAUCUACUUUAUCUGCUUUAAAA
This is a long non-coding RNA of Rhineura floridana, 563 nucleotides long. RefSeq lists it as uncharacterized. NCBI's taxonomy places the organism in Eukaryota, Metazoa, Chordata, Lepidosauria, Squamata, Rhineuridae. The transcript is spliced from 3 exons. The record is from RefSeq and is a predicted model, not a curated record.